Molecule: ribosomal RNA, 483 nt
Filed under: uncultured bacterium
Lineage: Bacteria
Description: bacterial SSU rRNA
Rfam family: Bacterial small subunit ribosomal RNA
Source: RNAcentral
CUACGUGCCAGCAGCCGCGGUAAUACGUAGGUGGCAAGCGUUGUCCGGAUUUAUUGGGCGUAAAGCGAGCGCAGGCGGUUCCUUAAGUCUGAUGUGAAAGCCCCCGGCUCAACCGGGGAGGGUCAUUGGAAACUGGGGAACUUGAGUGCAGAAGAGGAGAGUGGAAUUCCAUGUGUAGCGGUGAAAUGCGUAGAUAUAUGGAGGAACACCAGUGGCGAAGGCGACUCUCUGGUCUGUAACUGACGCUGAGAAGCGAAAGCAUGGGGAGCGAACAGGAUUAGAUACCCUGGUAGUCCAUGCCGUAAACGUUGGGCACUAGGUGUGGGGAACAUUCCACGUUUUCCGCGCCGUAGCUAACGCAUUAAGUGCCCCGCCUGGGGAGUACGGCCGCAAGGCUAAAACUCAAAGAAAUUGACGGAGGCCCGCACAAGCGGCGGAGCAUGCGGAUUAAUUCGAUGCAACGCGAAGAACCUUACCAAGGCU